CCAUCGUGCAGGAGAAUGCAAAUUGUCUGCCAGUAUUUUCUGAUAACAUACUGCAGUCAUCUUGCCAUCAAUUUUCACAAGAUUCUCCAUGCCUUUAGAGCUCACCCCACCCUCCCCCCAAAAACAUCAAUGAGCCACCACCAUGCUUCACAGUGGGGAUGGUAUUCUUUUCACUAUAGGCCUUGUUGACCCCUCUUCAAACAUAGCGCUUAUGGUUGUGACCAUAAAGCUCUAUUUUGGUCUUGUCACUCCAAAUCACAGUGUGCCAGAAGCUGUGUGUCAAGGUGUUGUCGGGCAUAUUGUAAUCGGGCGUUGUGUCAAUGGCACAGUAAAGGCUUCUUUCUGGCAACUCGAUCACGUAGCUCAUUGUUGUUCAAUUAUCGUCGUAUUGGGCUCCUUGAAACAACCACACCGUCUUUUUCCAGAGCUGCCUGUAUUUCUCCUGAGGUUACCUGUGGGUUUUUCUUGUAUCCCGAACAAUUCUUCUGGCAGUUGUGGCUGAGAUUUUUUUUGGCUUGGUAUCGAGAGAUCCCCGAAUUUUCCACUUCUUAAUAAGUGAUUGAACAGUACCGACUGGCAUUUCAAGGCUUUGGAUAUAUUUUUAUAUCGUUUUACAUCUUUAUAAAGUUCCAUUACCUUGUUACACAGAUCUUUUGACAGUUCUUUUCUGCUCCCAUGGCUCAGUAUCUAGCCUGCUCAGUGCAUCCACAUGAGCGCUAACAAACUCAUUGACUAUUCAUACAAAGACACUAAUUGCAAUUUAAAAAGCCACAUUCAAGGCCAAACAUUCAAGGGUAUGUAAACUUUUGAUCAGGGUCAUUUGGGUGAUUUCUGUCAUCAUUAUGAUUUAAAAAGAAGUCAAACAACUAUGUGAUAAUAAAUGACUUAAUAUGAUCACUGUCCUUCAAUAAAAUAUUUUUUUUUGCAUGAUCAGUCAGAUUUUUGAAAUUAAUGCCAAAAUUUCACAGUUUCUGCCAGAGUAAGCAAACUUGAGCACAGAUCUAACUAUACCUUGGAUUUAAUUAUAGUUUAAGGUGGUAAUAAAUGAAUAUUUUAUACACAGUGUUUGCACUUUACGGUUACAUAGUCUAAAAAGAGACCUGUGUCCAUCAAGUUCAGCCUUCCUCGCAUCUGUUUUUUGCUGUUGAUCCAAAAUAUGACCAAAGCACUUCCAAUUUCGCAACAAACUAGGAAACAAAUUCCUUCCUGAUCCCAUAAUGGCUGUCAGAUUUAUCUUUGGAUCGAGGAGCUCUAACCCUACAGUUUAAAAAUGAUAUCCUUUAAAAAAUUUUUAACCCCAAGUAUGAAUCCAAUUGCAGUUUAAACAUCUG
Molecule: non-coding RNA, 1331 nt
Organism: Pelobates cultripes (western spadefoot toad)
Lineage: Eukaryota; Metazoa; Chordata; Amphibia; Anura; Pelobatidae
Source: the annotation of a GenBank genome assembly